GCAGCAGYGAGGAAUAUUGGACAAUGGAGGCAACUCUGAUCCAGCCAUGCCGCGUGCAGGAAGACGGCCCUAUGGGUUGUAAACUGCUUUUAUACAGGAAGAAACACUCCCUCGUGAGGGAGCUUGACGGUACUGUAAGAAUAAGGACCGGCUAACUCCGUGCCAGCAGCCGCGGUAAUACGGAGGGUCCGAGCGUUAUCCGGAAUCAUUGGGUUUAAAGGGUCCGUAGGCGGAUUAUUAAGUCAGAGGUGAAAUCCCACAGCUUAACUGUGGAACUGCCUUUGAAACUGAUAGUCUUGAGUUACCUGGAAGUAGAUAGAAUGUGUAGUGUAGCGGUGAAAUGCUUAGAGAUUACACAGAAUACCGAUUGCGAAGGCAGUCUACUACGAGUAUACUGACGCUAAUGGACGAAAGCGUGGGGAGCGAACAGGAUUAGAUACCCUGGUAGUCCACGCCGUAAACGAUGGACACUCGUUGUUGGGAUUUAUUCUCAGUGACUAACCGAAAGUGAUAAGUGUCCCACCUGGGGAGUACGGUCGCAAGAUUGAAACUCAAAG
This 557-nucleotide ribosomal RNA is filed under the name uncultured marine bacterium. RNAcentral's name for it is "bacterial SSU rRNA". It matches the Rfam family "Bacterial small subunit ribosomal RNA", at positions 348 to 906 of the family's 1533-position model. The record is from RNAcentral.